Molecule: ribosomal RNA, 301 nt
Filed under: uncultured bacterium
Lineage: Bacteria
Description: partial 16S ribosomal RNA
Rfam family: Bacterial small subunit ribosomal RNA
Source: RNAcentral
CAGUAGCCGCGGGAAAACAGAGGGUGCGAGCGUUAAUCGGAUUUACUGGGCGUAAAGCGUGCGUAGGCGGCUUCUUAAGUCGGAUGUGAAAUCCCUGAGCUUAACUUAGGAAUUGCAUUCGAUACUGGGAAGCUAGAGUAUGGGAGAGGAUGGUAGAAUUCCAGGUGUAGCGGUGAAAUGCGUAGAGAUCUGGAGGAAUACCGAUGGCGAAGGCAGCCAUCUGGCCUAAUACUGACGCUGAGGUACGAAAGCAUGGGGAGCAAACAGGAUUAGAUACACCUGUAGUCCCUGUCUCUUAUAC